Molecule: non-coding RNA, 750 nt
Organism: Phoenix dactylifera (date palm)
Lineage: Eukaryota; Viridiplantae; Streptophyta; Magnoliopsida; Arecales; Arecaceae
Source: RefSeq, a predicted model, not a curated record
UUUCCGUUCUACUUCUAUCCCUCCUCUCUCCUCUCCCGCUUCCAUGGCAUCCCCUUCUCGCUCCUCCCCCGUCACCUUCUCCGGUGGCGCCGUAUCCGCCGGAGACGACUCCGACCGUCUCCCGCGCCUCCUCUUCGCCGCCCUCAAGGCCCGAAAAGGAGACAUGAAAAAGCGGCUUGGAACCGCUGACCUUUAUCAUUUUAUUGUUGCGGCUGUGUUGGUUUAUUACUGCGGAUGAGAUGGUGUAUGAUUUUUUGUAUAGAAGUCGUCAUGAUCUCUCCAGAGGCAUUAACUUGUCUACCAAACUCUCUUCACAGUGGCAUAUCUCAUGCACGAGUUGUUGACAGUUUCAACAAUUAUCAGCAACCAUAAAGCCUUGCCUCAUCUGUAUACUUCUCAAAAUUGUGAGGAGUGCUCGUAUUUGCUUAACUACCACCAUAUCUCGAACUGCUGACUGCUCAUCAUCUAGGUAGAAGCAUUUCCCAUUUAUGUGUAUAUGGCAUCCGUGCAAGUUUAAAUAUCUCCAAUUUUUAUCUUUGUUAAGUUAUCAACUUUAGACCAGAAAUCUUCCUUUCUGAUGGAUUUGAUUUGGUUACCUUGGAGGUAUCAAAUACUUCAAAGUAUUUUGAAAAGCAGCCUUCUACUUAGAUACAGGCAUUUGUUAAAAUAUGAGAUGCUGUUUCUCGUGUCAAGCUUGGUAAUAUACUCAUCUGUGUUGAUCAAAGUAAUGUAACUAUAGUUCUGUGCUCA